CCCGGAGAGACAGCAGAAUGAAGGUCAAGCUGAAGACUUUACCAGACAAGCUGAGAGGUGGUGCAUGGCCGUCGCCAGCUCGUGCCGUGAGAUGUCCUGUUAAGUCAGGUAACGAGCGAGAUCCCUGCCUCUAGUUGCCACCAUUACUCUCAGGAGUAGUGGGGCGAAUUAGCGGGACCGCCGCAGUUAAUGCGGAGGAAGGAAGGGGCCACGGCAGGUCAGUAUGCCCCGAAACUCUGGGGCCACACGCGGGCUGCAAUGGUAAUGACAAUGGGUUCCAAAUCCGAAAGGAGGAGGUAAUCCCCAAACAUUACCACAGUUAUGACUGAGGGCUGCAACUCGCCCUCACGAAUAUGGAAUCCCUAGUAACUGCGUGUCAUUAUCGCGCGGUGAAUACGUCCCUGCUCCUUGCACACACCGCCCGUCGUUUCAUUGAAGUGAGCUUUUAGCGAGGUGACGUCUAAUUGGCGUUAUCGAACUUGAGGUUCGUGACAAGGGAAAAGUCGUAACAAGGUGACCGUAGGGGAACCUGCGGUCG
RNAcentral lists this ribosomal RNA (538 nucleotides) under marine metagenome. RNAcentral's name for it is "bacterial SSU rRNA". It matches the Rfam family "Archaeal small subunit ribosomal RNA", at positions 930 to 1467 of the family's 1478-position model. RNAcentral also lists the same sequence under 1 other name. The record is from RNAcentral.